RNAcentral lists this transfer RNA (75 nucleotides) under Oscillospiraceae bacterium. RNAcentral's name for it is "tRNA-Thr". It matches the Rfam family "tRNA". Rfam says of the family: Transfer RNA (tRNA) molecules are approximately 80 nucleotides in length. Their secondary structure includes four short double-helical elements and three loops (D, anti-codon, and T loops). The record is from RNAcentral. Lineage: Bacteria; Bacillati; Bacillota; Clostridia; Eubacteriales; Oscillospiraceae.
GCUGGUGUGGCGCAGGGGUAGCGCAACUGAUUCGUAAUCAGUAGGCCGAGAGUUCAAAUCUCUCCACCAGCUCCA